GACGAACGCUGGCGGCGUGCCUAAUACAUGCAAGUUGAGCGCUGAAGGUUGGUACUUGUACCAACUGGAUGAGCAGCGAACGGGUGAGUAACGCGUGGGGAAUCUGCCUUUGAGCGGGGGACAACAUUUGGAAACGAAUGCUAAUACCGCAUAAAAACUUUAAACACAAGUUUUAAGUUUGAAAGAUGCAAUUGCAUCACUCAAAGAUGAUCCCGCGUUGUAUUAGCUAGUUGGUGAGGUAAAGGCUCACCAAGGCGAUGAUACAUAGCCGACCGGAGAGGGUGAUCGGCCACACUGGGACGGAGACACGGCCCAAACUCCCACGGGAGGCAGCAGUAGGGAAUCUUCGGCAAUGGACGAAAGUCUGACCGCGCAACGCCGAGUGAGUGAAGAAGGUUUUCGGAUCGUAAAACUCUGUUGGUAGAGAAGAACGUUGGUGAGAGUGGAAAGCUCAUCAAGUGACGGUAACUACCCAGAAAGGGACGGCUAACUACGUG
Molecule: ribosomal RNA, 497 nt
Filed under: uncultured bacterium
Lineage: Bacteria
Description: partial 16S ribosomal RNA
Rfam family: Bacterial small subunit ribosomal RNA
Source: RNAcentral